Molecule: ribosomal RNA, 432 nt
Filed under: uncultured bacterium
Lineage: Bacteria
Description: partial 16S ribosomal RNA
Rfam family: Bacterial small subunit ribosomal RNA
Source: RNAcentral
CCUACGGGUGGCAGCAGUGGGGAAUAUUGGACAAUGGGCGAAAGCCUGAUCCAGCAACGCCGCGUGAGGGAUGACGGCCUUCGGGUUGUAAACCUCUUUCAUCCAGGACGCGGUACUGGAAGAAGAAGCACCGGCCAACUACGUGCCAGCAGCCGCGGUAAUACGUAGGGUGCGAGCGUUGUCCGGAAUUAUUGGGCGUAAAGGGCUCGUAGGCGGUUUGUCGCGUCGGGAGUGAAAACUCAGGGCUUAACCCUGAGCCUGCUUCCGAUACGGGCAGACUAGAGGUAUGCAGGGGAGAAUGGAAUUCCUGGUGUAGCGGUGAAAUGCGCAGAUAUCAGGAGGAACACCAGUGGCGAAGGCGGUUCUCUGGGCAUUCCUGACGCUGAGGAGCGAAAGUGUGGGGAGCGAACAGGAUUAGAUACCCUUGUAGUC